Molecule: ribosomal RNA, 497 nt
Filed under: uncultured bacterium
Lineage: Bacteria
Description: partial 16S ribosomal RNA
Rfam family: Bacterial small subunit ribosomal RNA
Source: RNAcentral
GAUGAACGCUGGCGGCGUGCCUAAUACAUGCAAGUCGAGCGAACAGACGAGGAGCUUGCUCCUUUGACGUUAGCGGCGGACGGGUGAGUAACACGUAGAUAACCUACCUAUAAGACUGGGAUAACUUCGGGAAACCGGAGCUAAUACCGGAUAAUAUUUCGAACCGCAUGGUUCGAUAGUGAAAGACGGCUUUGCUAUCACUUAUAGAUGGACCCGCGCCGUAUUAGCUAGUUGGUAAGGUAACGGCUUACCAAGGCGACGAUGCGUAGCCGACCUGAGAGGGUGAUCGGCCACACUGGAACUGAGACACGGUCCAGACUCCUACGGGAGGCAGCAGUAGGGAAUCUUCCGCAAUGGGCGAAAGCCUGACGGAGCAACGCCGCGUGAGUGAUGAAGGUCUUCGGAUCGUAAAACUCUGUUAUUAGGGAAGAACAAACGUGUAAGUAACUAUGCACGUCUUGACGGUACCUAAUCAGAAAGCCACGGCUAACUACGUG